Molecule: long non-coding RNA, 137 nt
Organism: Gorilla gorilla gorilla (western lowland gorilla)
Lineage: Eukaryota; Metazoa; Chordata; Mammalia; Primates; Hominidae
Exons: 3
Source: RefSeq, a predicted model, not a curated record
UGUGAUUAACAUAUGAGUGUCUUUGAGCAAUCGACAUACUGUUUUCUAUGGACUUUGAACUAAUUUACAAUCCCACCAACAAUGUGCUGAAGUGCAGUCAGUGGCACAAUCUCAGCUCACUGCAACCUCCAUCUCCC